ACGUUGAAACACCGGUUCUCAUAUGAUCACUGAAGUUAAGCAAUAUUGAGCCUGUUCAGUACCUAGAGGGUGACCGCUUGGUAAUAUCAGGUGAUGUAAG
Non-coding RNA from Acanthosepion pharaonis, 100 nucleotides. The record is from the annotation of a GenBank genome assembly. Lineage: Eukaryota; Metazoa; Mollusca; Cephalopoda; Sepiida; Sepiidae.